UACGGAGGAUCCAAGCGUUAUCCGGAUUCAUUGGGCUUAAAGGGUGCGUAGGCGGACUGAUAAGUCAGCGGUGAAAUCCCACGGCUCAACUGUGGAACUGCCGUUGAUACUGUUAGUCUUGAAUGCAGAUGAUGUGGGCGGAAUAUGACAUGUAGUGGUGAAAUACUUAGAUAUGUCAUAGAACACCGAUUGCGAAGGCAGCUCGCAAAACUGUGAUUGACGCUGAGGCACGAAAGCGUGGGGAUCAAACAGG
Molecule: ribosomal RNA, 253 nt
Filed under: uncultured bacterium
Lineage: Bacteria
Description: partial 16S ribosomal RNA
Rfam family: Bacterial small subunit ribosomal RNA
Source: RNAcentral